Long non-coding RNA from Perognathus longimembris pacificus (Pacific pocket mouse), 153 nucleotides. RefSeq lists it as uncharacterized. The transcript has 3 exons. The record is from RefSeq and is a predicted model, not a curated record. Lineage: Eukaryota; Metazoa; Chordata; Mammalia; Rodentia; Heteromyidae.
CCUCGGCGGCAGCAGGGGCGCUGGUGGUGACCCUCGGGGGGUCUGUGCAGUCCAGUGGCUCCCUCGGGACAGGCUGGCCAGGCCAGGCUGGGCUGAGAGUCACGGCUGCUGGCAAGAAGGGGAGCUGGAGUCAGGGUGGCGCAGGGAGGGCAG